UUAGGACUCUUCUUAAAACUAACUAGAAUCCAUCAGAGAAGAUUUACAUGGUCCCUGUGUAAAGAUGACAUGUAAAUUCAUCAGGUGUUCCCUAUUCAA
Molecule: small nuclear RNA, 99 nt
Organism: Dipodomys ordii (Ord's kangaroo rat)
Lineage: Eukaryota; Metazoa; Chordata; Mammalia; Rodentia; Heteromyidae
Source: Ensembl